UACGACUACAUAUCAGGCAUAUCAAUAAGCGGAGGAAAAGAAACUAACAAGGAUUCCCUUAGUAACGGCGAGUGAAGCGGGAAGAGCUCAAAUUUGAAAUCUUCAAGGUUCUACCUUGACGAAUUGUAGUUUAUAGAAGUGUUUUCUGUUAGUGGAGUGGCAAAAGUUCUUUGGAAUAGGACAUCAUAGAGGGUGAGAAUCCCGUAUUUGGUCAUUCCUCCUAGCGUUGUGAUACACUUUCAACGAGUCGGAUUGUUUGGGAAUGCAGUCCAAAAUGGGUGGUAAAUUUCAUCUAAGGCUAAAUAUUGGCGAGAGACCGAUAGCGAACAAGUACCGUGAGGGAAAGAUGAAAAGAACUUUGAAAAGAGAGUUAAACAGUACGUGAAAUUGUCAAAAGGGAAGCGUUUGACACCAGUGUUGUUUUCUCGAAAAUCAAUUAAAAAUGAUUGGAUUUUGUGUUGUAUUGACCUUAUCAGCUUUCUGCACUUUUUUCUUGUCUUUUUUAAUGCACUUUUCGUUUAACAAGUCAACAUCAAUUUCUUUUGUUGUAAAAGAGUCAUUGGAAGGUGGCUUUUCACUUCGGUGAAAAGUGUUUAUAGCCUUUGGCUUCUGCAAUCGGAGAGAUUGAGGUCUGCAGCGUAGAUCCUUCGGGGUUAGAUACAUUUGUGCUAAGCUAUAGUUCUUUCAUAGACAACUUGUUGACUAUGAUUCAAUCAUGUAGCUUACUCGCUUAUGCUAUUUUACCUACGCUUAGGAUGUUGAACGCGCACAGAGUCUC
This 778-nucleotide ribosomal RNA is filed under the name uncultured Neocallimastigales. Its description in RNAcentral is "partial large subunit ribosomal RNA". It matches the Rfam family "Eukaryotic large subunit ribosomal RNA", at positions 24 to 611 of the family's 3401-position model. Lineage: Eukaryota; Fungi; Neocallimastigomycota; Neocallimastigomycetes; Neocallimastigales. The record is from RNAcentral.